UCCCUGGUGGUCCAGUGGUUAAGACAUUGUGCUUCUACUGCAGGGGGCACAGGUUUGAUCCAUGGUCAGGGAG
Molecule: non-coding RNA, 73 nt
Organism: Ovis aries (sheep)
Lineage: Eukaryota; Metazoa; Chordata; Mammalia; Artiodactyla; Bovidae
Source: Rfam